GCAGGUUCCUUGGUCUAAAUAUCCCAGCUUUAGCUCUGGUCAUCAUCUGGUAUCUCAGAGCUUCUAUUAGAAUAUUUUCGGCUUGUACUCUCUCUUCCUCUUGAUCUGAUGGUGUUAUGCUCUGACUGAGAGAAGACACUGGUUCUUCUUGCAACAAAUUGUCACCGGUCGAAGGAUCUCUUGGUGAGUGUUGCGGUGAGGACUCUGCCAUAGGGGAGGAAGCUGG
This 226-nucleotide long non-coding RNA is filed under the name Carica papaya (papaya). Its description in RNAcentral is "long non-coding RNA (CPAP_LNC012541)". The record is from RNAcentral. Lineage: Eukaryota; Viridiplantae; Streptophyta; Magnoliopsida; Brassicales; Caricaceae.